This 533-nucleotide ribosomal RNA is filed under the name uncultured bacterium. Its description in RNAcentral is "partial 16S ribosomal RNA". The record is from RNAcentral.
GUAGUUAGCCGGGGCUUCCUCCUUGGCUACCGUCACUUUCUUCGUCACCAAGGACAGAGGUUUACAACCCGAAAGCCUUCUUCCCUCACGCGGCGUUGCUGGGUCAGGCUUGCGCCCAUUGCCCAAUAUUCCCCACUGCUGCCUCCCGUAGGAGUCUGGACCGUGUCUCAGUUCCAGUGUGGCCGUUCAGCCUCUCAGCUCGGCUACCCAUCGUCGACUUGGUGGGCCGUUACCCCGCCAACUAUCUAAUGGGACGCGAACCCCUCCUAAAGCGGAUUGCUCCUUUGACCUCUGAGCGAUGUCACUCCGUGGUCUUAUGCGGUAUUAGCAACCGUUUCCGAUUGUUAUCCCCCACUCUAGGGCAGGUUGUUCACGCGUUACUCACCCGUUCGCCACUAAAGUAUCAACCGAAAUCAAUACUUCCGUUCGACUUGCAUGUGUUAGGCACGCCGCCAGCGUUCGUCCUCGAGCCACGAGUACAACUAACCUUACGACGUACGUAGACGGGCGGUCGGUCGAACGGACGGCGACUA